UUGGGCUGCAGGCAGAAGAUGUGAUUUUCUUUUCGCAGGGGGUUUUACCGUGUCUUUCGCCAGAGGGGAAAAUCUUGUUGGAGAAACCAUAUCAAUGCUCCAUG
Molecule: ribosomal RNA, 104 nt
Filed under: Chaetoceros cf. neogracilis
Lineage: Eukaryota; Bacillariophyta; Thalassiosirophyceae; Chaetocerotales; Chaetocerotaceae
Description: partial Eukaryotic small subunit ribosomal RNA
Source: RNAcentral